UACGUAGGGUGCGAGCGUUAAUCGGAAUUACUGGGCGUAAAGCGUGCGCAGGCGGUUUUGUAAGCCAGAUGUGAAAUCCCCAGGCUUAACCUGGGAACUGCGUCUGAUACUGGAUGGCUUGAAUUCGGGAGAGGGAUGCAGAAUUCCAGGUGUAGCGGUGAAAUGCGUAGAUAUCUGGAGGAAUACCGGUGGCGAAGGCGGCAUCCUGGACCGAGAUUGACACUGAUGAGCGAAAGCUAGGGGAGCAAACGGG
RNAcentral lists this ribosomal RNA (253 nucleotides) under uncultured bacterium. Its description in RNAcentral is "partial 16S ribosomal RNA". It matches the Rfam family "Bacterial small subunit ribosomal RNA", at positions 524 to 776 of the family's 1533-position model. The record is from RNAcentral.